CCCUUGGAGUGUUAUAAAAACUUGAGUAGCUUAUAUAAAGUGAAAAAGAACACGUUGAAUAGGGAA
This 66-nucleotide non-coding RNA is filed under the name unclassified sequences. Its description in RNAcentral is "RAGATH-18 RNA". It matches the Rfam family "RAGATH-18 RNA". Rfam says of the family: Actinobacteria, Firmicutes, Fusobacteria, Thermotogae (1 example). The record is from Rfam by way of RNAcentral.